RNAcentral lists this non-coding RNA (33 nucleotides) under unclassified sequences. RNAcentral describes it as "L31-Firmicutes ribosomal protein leader". It matches the Rfam family "L31-Firmicutes ribosomal protein leader". The record is from RNAcentral.
CUAUGACUAAAAAAAUAGUUAUGGCGGAAGGAG